Molecule: ribosomal RNA, 1176 nt
Filed under: Enterobacter hormaechei
Lineage: Bacteria; Pseudomonadati; Pseudomonadota; Gammaproteobacteria; Enterobacterales; Enterobacteriaceae
Description: bacterial LSU rRNA
Rfam family: Bacterial large subunit ribosomal RNA
Source: RNAcentral
GGGUUGUGAGGUUAAGCGACUAAGCGUACACGGUGGAUGCCCUGGCAGUCAGAGGCGAUGAAGGACGUGCUAAUCUGCGAAAAGCGCCGGCGAGGUGAUAUGAACCUUUGACCCGGCGAUGUCCGAAUGGGGAAACCCAGUGUGUUCCGACACACUAUCGUUAACUGAAUACAUAGGUUAACGAGGCGAACCGGGGGAACUGAAACAUCUAAGUACCCCGAGGAAAAGAAAUCAACCGAGAUUCCCCCAGUAGCGGCGAGCGAACGGGGAGCAGCCCGGAGUCUGAAUCAGCUUGUGUGUUAGUGGAACGGUCUGGAAAGUCCGACGGUACAGGGUGAUAGUCCCGUACACGAAAAUGCACAUGCUGUGAACUCGAAGAGUAGGGCGGGACACGUGGUAUCCUGUCUGAAUAUGGGGGGACCAUCCUCCAAGGCUAAAUACUCCUGACUGACCGAUAGUGAACCAGUACCGUGAGGGAAAGGCGAAAAGAACCCCGGCGAGGGGAGUGAAAAAGAACCUGAAACCGUGUACGUACAAGCAGUGGGAGCACCUUCGGGUGUGACUGCGUACCUUUUGUAUAAUGGGUCAGCGACUUAUAUUCUGUAGCAAGGUUAACCGUAUAGGGGAGCCGAAGGGAAACCGAGUCUUAACUGGGCGUUAAGUUGCAGGGUAUAGACCCGAAACCCGGUGAUCUAGCCAUGGGCAGGUUGAAGGUUGGGUAACACUAACUGGAGGACCGAACCGACUAAUGUUGAAAAAUUAGCGGAUGACCUGUGGCUGGGGGUGAAAGGCCAAUCAAACCGGGAGAUAGCUGGUUCUCCCCGAAAGCUAUUUAGGUAGCGCCUCGUGAACUCAUCUUCGGGGGUAGAGCACUGUUUCGGCUAGGGGGCCAUCCCGGCUUACCAACCCGAUGCAAACUACGAAUACCGAAGAAUGUUAUCACGGGAGACACACGGCGGGUGCUAACGUCCGUCGUGAAGAGGGAAACAACCCAGACCGCCAGCUAAGGUCCCAAAGUCAUGGUUAAGUGGGAAACGAUGUGGGAAGGCACAGACAGCCAGGAUGUUGGCUUAGAAGCAGCCAUCAUUUAAAGAAAGCGUAAUAGCUCACUGGUCGAGUCGGCCUGCGCGGAAGAUGUAACGGGGCUAAACCAUGCACCGAAGCUGCGGCAGCGAC